GGAGGGAAGACUCACCCUGGGUGUGGGUGGUACCAGCCAAUAGGCUUUUAGCUGGGAUGGAAUACAAAGGGAAAGAAGGAGGAAAUCUGCCCUUUUCUUUGGAGGAGCUCCGGUCUUCACCCUCAUCUUUGGAUGUUCAUUUUCAGCCUUCUAGGGCAGACCUUCUGGUUUCCCAACAGGGAUUCACAUUGGCUCUGCAACCUUGGGCUGGAUCCUCUGGCUCUCCAGUGCACAGACGGCCAUUCAGACAGAGACCAGGACCAGUGCUUCCAUUUCCUGGGGACUUUCAUUGAGAGGUCACAAGAAAGGAAGGUACUCAGUUGGGCUGCUGAAUAUGUGUGAAGAGGCUACUGCUGUGCCUGGCAAAUGAAGGAUGAUAGAAUUCUUCCUUAAGGCACAUAGCAAAUGCUGGGAAGCCUGUGGGAGGAGCACAGUCCUGUUGGGAAAGCACAGGGGAAAUGUCCUGUGACUCCAGGGGAGAUCAGAGCAGACACAGUUGUCUGAGCUGGAACCUCUGGGCCUUUGUUGGCUCAUCUGUAAAAAGGCUGAAAUACUGGUGUCUACAGAGUUAUCGUAAGGACGAAUGGCAUCGUUGAUAAAACCUGGCACUCAGGAA
RNAcentral lists this long non-coding RNA (616 nucleotides) under Heterocephalus glaber (naked mole-rat). RNAcentral describes it as "lncRNA (ENSHGLG00000050609.1)". Lineage: Eukaryota; Metazoa; Chordata; Mammalia; Rodentia; Bathyergidae. The record is from RNAcentral.